GAUGAACGCUGGCGGCGUGCUUAACACAUGCAAGUCGAACGGAAAGGCUCCUGCUUUCAGGGGUACUCGAGUGGCGAACGGGUGAGUAACACGUGGGUGAUCUGCCCUGCACUUCGGGAUAAGCCUGGGAAACUGGGUCUAAUACCGGAUAGGACGAUGGGUUGGAUGCCGUUGUGGGAAGUUUUUCGGUGGGGGUUGAGCGCGCGGCCUAUCAGCUUGUUGGUGGGGUAAUGGCUUACCAAGGCGUCGUCGGGUAGCCGGCCUGAGAGGGUGGACGGCCACAUUGGGACUGAGAUACGGCCCAGACUCCUACGGGAGGCAGCAGUGGGGAAUAUUGCACAAUGGGCGGAAGCCUGAUGCAGCAACGCCGCGUGGGGGAUGACGGCCUUCGGGUUGUAAACCCCUUUCGCUAGUGACGAAGCGCAAGUGACGGUACCUGGAGAAGAAGCACCGGCUAACUACGUG
This 465-nucleotide ribosomal RNA is filed under the name uncultured bacterium. Its description in RNAcentral is "partial 16S ribosomal RNA". It matches the Rfam family "Bacterial small subunit ribosomal RNA", at positions 28 to 507 of the family's 1533-position model. The record is from RNAcentral.